GGGCGUAUAGCUCAGUUGGUUAGAGCGCACGGUUCACAUCCGUGAGGUCAGAGGUUCGAGUCCUCUUACGCCCA
RNAcentral lists this transfer RNA (74 nucleotides) under Anaerolineales bacterium. RNAcentral's name for it is "tRNA-Val". It matches the Rfam family "tRNA". Rfam says of the family: Transfer RNA (tRNA) molecules are approximately 80 nucleotides in length. The record is from RNAcentral. Lineage: Bacteria; Bacillati; Chloroflexota; Anaerolineae; Anaerolineales. RNAcentral also lists the same sequence under 1 other name.